Molecule: non-coding RNA, 581 nt
Organism: Cyprinus carpio (common carp)
Lineage: Eukaryota; Metazoa; Chordata; Actinopteri; Cypriniformes; Cyprinidae
Source: the annotation of a RefSeq genome assembly
CAGAACACAAUCUUCAUCAUCACACAAGACACAACAACAACAAUGAACAACAUCAUCAUCCUCAUCUGGACCACUGCAGUUUUUAUUCAUGAAUCCAGAGGAGUCACUGUGACUCAGCCUAAAGUUACAACUGUCCAGCUCGGUCAAACAGCUACAAUAGAGUGUAGUCUGGAUGUAGGACUAACCUCUAAUGAUUUGGCCUGGUAUCAGCAGAAACCUGGAGAAGCUCCUAAACUCCUCAUUUAUUACAUAAACAGCCUCCAGUCAGGAACUCCAUCUAGAUUCAGUGGCAGUGGAACUAGAAAAGGAAAAGAUUUCACUCUGACCAUCAGUGGAGUCCAGACUGAAGAUACAGGAGAUUAUUAUUGUCAGAGUUACCACAGUGGUGGUGUGUUCACAUUCGGUGGAGGAACUAAACUGGUGCUCGCUGGUCCCACAGUGAAGCCCUCAGUGUCUCUGCUGCUGCCCUCUUUCUCUGCAGAUCUCUGGAGACUCAGCCGCACUGCUCUGCCUGCUCAGCUCUUACUCUCCACAGGGGGGCGCUGGUGAGCUGGACACUGGAUGGCUCAGAGGUCACCGAG